This 228-nucleotide long non-coding RNA is filed under the name Gallus gallus (chicken). The record is from RNAcentral. Lineage: Eukaryota; Metazoa; Chordata; Aves; Galliformes; Phasianidae.
CGCUGUUGAGGAAGCUGGGGGCCAAGUCACGGUCACUGCGGAGUAGGUCUGCCAUGUGCCUCUGCAGCAGGGUGGAGGGACAUGGCUUCUGCAGGCUGGGGAGGCUGGCAUCCUCGGGCUUGGUUUUCAGCAAGUGUGGGAGCCGUGUGUAUCUGUACCCGAAGCCACAGCCCCGCCACAGCCUGACGAGGAUCCAGUUGGUCUGUGCCCAGGGCCGCUGUUCGUAGG